GUGCUCACUUUGGCAGCACAUAUCUUAAAACUGGA
Molecule: small nuclear RNA, 35 nt
Filed under: Cervus elaphus hippelaphus
Lineage: Eukaryota; Metazoa; Chordata; Mammalia; Artiodactyla; Cervidae
Source: RNAcentral